GAACCGUGCGAACGUUGUUCGGAAUCACUGGGCUUAAAGGGCGCGUAGGCGGCCGGCCAAGUCGCGGGUGAAAUCGUCCGGCCCAACCGGACAAGGGCCCGCGAGACUGGCCGGCUCGAGCGAGGUAGGGGUGGGGGGAACUUCCGGUGGAGCGGUGAAAUGCGUUGAUAUCGGAAGGAACGCCGGCGGCGAAAGCGCCCCACUGGACCUCUCCUGACGCUGAGGCGCGAAAGCCAGGGGAGCGAACGGGAUUAGAUACCCCGGUAGUCCUGGCCCUAAACGAUGGGCACUGGGUAGUGGGCCUUAAGGGCUCACUGCCGCAGCCAAAGUGGUAAGUGCCCCGCCUGGGGAGUAUGGUCGCAAGGCUGAA
RNAcentral lists this ribosomal RNA (370 nucleotides) under uncultured bacterium. RNAcentral describes it as "bacterial SSU rRNA". It matches the Rfam family "Bacterial small subunit ribosomal RNA", at positions 527 to 898 of the family's 1533-position model. The record is from RNAcentral.